UUAAGCACCAGUUCUCAUAUGAUCAAUGAAGUUAAGCAAUGUUGAGCCUGGUCAGUACCUAGUGGGUGACCACAUGGGAAUACUAGGUGCU
This is a non-coding RNA of Acanthosepion pharaonis, 91 nucleotides long. Lineage: Eukaryota; Metazoa; Mollusca; Cephalopoda; Sepiida; Sepiidae. The record is from the annotation of a GenBank genome assembly.